RNAcentral lists this transfer RNA (77 nucleotides) under Planctomycetota bacterium. RNAcentral's name for it is "Planctomycetes bacterium tRNA-Val". It matches the Rfam family "tRNA". Rfam says of the family: Transfer RNA (tRNA) molecules are approximately 80 nucleotides in length. Their secondary structure includes four short double-helical elements and three loops (D, anti-codon, and T loops). Further hydrogen bonds mediate the characteristic L-shaped molecular structure. tRNAs have two regions of fundamental functional importance: the anti-codon, which is responsible for specific mRNA codon recognition, and the 3' end, to which the tRNAs corresponding amino acid is attached (by aminoacyl-tRNA synthetases). tRNAs cope with the degeneracy of the genetic code in two manners: having more than one tRNA (with a specific anti-codon) for a particular amino acid; and 'wobble' base-pairing, i.e. permitting non-standard base-pairing at the 3rd anti-codon position. The record is from RNAcentral. Lineage: Bacteria; Pseudomonadati; Planctomycetota.
GGGCGCUUAGCUCAGCUGGUUAGAGCGCACGGAUCACACCCGUGAGGUCACUGGUUCGAGUCCAGUAUCGCCCACUA